CAUUAGAUGGCUGAAAGUAAGCCCUGGUCUCUUAAACCAUUUAAUAGUACUUAACGAAUACUUCUAAUGA
Molecule: transfer RNA, 70 nt
Filed under: Ulomoides dermestoides
Lineage: Eukaryota; Metazoa; Arthropoda; Insecta; Coleoptera; Tenebrionidae
Description: tRNA-Lys
Source: RNAcentral